This 460-nucleotide ribosomal RNA is filed under the name uncultured bacterium. RNAcentral's name for it is "partial 16S ribosomal RNA". It matches the Rfam family "Bacterial small subunit ribosomal RNA", at positions 338 to 795 of the family's 1533-position model. The record is from RNAcentral.
CCUACGGGAGGCAGCAGUGAGGAAUAUUGGUCAAUGGGCUUACGCCUGAACCAGCCAAGUCGCGUGAGGGAAGACUGCCCUAUGGGUUGUAAACCUCUUUUGUCAGGGAGCAACGCCGGCUACGUGUAGCCGGACUGAGAGUACCUGAAGAAAAAGCAUCGGCUAACUCCGUGCCAGCAGCCGCGGUAAUACGGAGGAUGCGAGCGUUAUACGGAUUUAUUGGGUUGAACGGGUGCGUAGGCGGAAUGCCAAGUCAGCGGUAAAUUAGCGGGGCUCAACCUCGCUCCGCCGUUGAAACUGGCGUUCUUGAGUGGGCGAGAAGUAUGCGGAAUGCGUGGUGUAGCGGUGAAAGGCAUAGAUAUCACGCAGAACUCCGAUUGCGAAGGCAGCAUACCGGCGCCCAACUGACGCUGAAGCACGAAAGCGUGGGUAUCGAACAGGAUUAGAUACCCGAGUAGUC